GGGGCGCAGCACGUGGCAGGGAGAGGCACGGACGUGCUCCCCCGAGUGAAGCUGCCGCGGGUAUGUCCCGGGGAGUGCGCGGCGCGCCAGCCUGCCUGACGCACGAUGGGUUGAGUGCCCAGGCGGCGAGGGCAGGCCGGGGUCUGUAUUUUUGGUUUAUUUACAUGUUUCGUGCCGGAACAUCGUGCGGGGGUGCAGAAGGGGGCGUGGAGGGACAGGCACGGGGGGCGGCACCGAGGGGGGGCAGGGGCGCCCGGCUGCCCUGGCAUACUGCCGGCUUUCUCAGUGGUCAUCUGAACAUUUCGACUCGAAGCGCCGCCGCCGCCGCUGCCCCUCCGCUGCUGGCUACCUUGCACGGAGCGGGCAUCAGUUAGCCCUAGUUAUCUCCCGCGGCCGGUGCGCUGUGACCCUCGCUGCCGCCCAGCCCUCGUGCCCACAGCGAGGCCCCGCGACUCCCUCAGGGCCCGCCACUCCCCGCUACCCCCACGGCCCCGACACACCGGAGGAGGACGUCCAUUGGUCCGCUGCUUGCAACCUCCCCGGGGGAAGGUGUGACAGUGAAAGGUGCGGUGCGAUCGGCAGAAUCAGUGUGUUUGGGAACAAUGAAGGAGGCACAUAGACGCUGCUGCCGCCGCUGUCUGGUGCCCACAUAGCGUUCCCACGACGACUAACUCGCUGCUCCCCGACCUACGGCAGGCUGAGGCUCCUGCUGCCCCUGUGCCCUUGGAGGACAAACCGGGGCAGGCAGGCAGGCAGGCCAGUGAAGACAGCUCCGUGGCCUGCAGUGAGCCGUGUGACCUGCAGCCUCUGUGAGACGUGUGGAGACAGGAGACCGCCGGCUAGUGGAAGGAGAAGGCCAGCCGCCCUCCACCUCCAUCCACCCUCCAUCCUCCACCUCCAUCCACCCGCCACACACCCACAGUGGCAACAGUUCAGCGAGGCGGCGACUGUGUUUGCUGAGAGAGAGAAAAAUCUAAAAGUUAGUAGUGUCGAAUAUCUUGAAUCUGUGAGGCUGGCCAGUAGUGGAGAGAAAAGUCGUGCUGUGCCGAUGUGUUGAGUGUGCUGUGUAGUGCCGAGGAGAUUGUGUUGCUGCUGUGUUGUUCUUGUUGUUGUAUUUGUGUUGUGCCGCUACAGGGAGGGCCCAGGGCUGCCCCAAACCCUGCCCCCCCCCCUCCGACACACGACCAUGCCCCACUGACGGCGCCCAACAUGAGGUACGUGUACGUGUGUGUGUACGUGUGUGCGUGUGUGUGUGUACGUCUUCAAGGUGCGGCCCGUCAUGUAUGUGUUCUCUCCACCUGAUUCUCUGUCGCCUCCUCCUCCACCUCCUCCACCUCCCUCCUCCACCUCCUCCUCCCGCCAGGUGUUGCGCAGGUGAGUAUGCUAAUUAACCUUUCGUCCCCCAUUGCACCUGUAUACCUGGGUCUCAUUCUCGUGCUAGACUCGUUUCACUCUCAUCACUUUCGCUUUU
Eriocheir sinensis (Chinese mitten crab) is the source of this 1471-nucleotide long non-coding RNA. RefSeq lists it as uncharacterized. The record is from RefSeq and is a predicted model, not a curated record. NCBI's taxonomy places the organism in Eukaryota, Metazoa, Arthropoda, Malacostraca, Decapoda, Varunidae. The transcript is spliced from 3 exons.